This 253-nucleotide ribosomal RNA is filed under the name uncultured bacterium. RNAcentral describes it as "partial 16S ribosomal RNA". It matches the Rfam family "Bacterial small subunit ribosomal RNA", at positions 524 to 776 of the family's 1533-position model. The record is from RNAcentral.
UACAGAGGUCCCGAGCGUUGUUCGGAUUCACUGGGCGUAAAGGGUGCGUAGGUGGUCGGGUAAGUCUGAGGUGAAAUCUCCGAGCCCAACUCGGAAACUGCCUUGGAUACUAUUCGGCUAGAGGGUUGGAGGGGGGACUGGAAUUCUCGGUGUAGCAGUGAAAUGCGUAGAUAUCGAGAGGAACACCAGUGGCGAAGGCGACUACCUGGCCUGUUCUUGACGCUGAGGCGCGAAAGCUAGGGGAGCAAACGGG